RNAcentral lists this ribosomal RNA (348 nucleotides) under uncultured bacterium. RNAcentral describes it as "partial 16S ribosomal RNA". It matches the Rfam family "Bacterial small subunit ribosomal RNA", at positions 338 to 703 of the family's 1533-position model. The record is from RNAcentral.
CCUACGGGAGGCAGCAGUGGGGAAUAUUGCACAAUGGAGGGAACUCUGAUGCAGCGACGCCGCGUGAGGGAAGAAGGAAUUCGGGAUGUAAAGCUCCAUCAGCAGGGAAGAAAGUGACGGUACCUGAAAAAGAAGCUCCGGCGAAAUACGUGCCAGCAGCCUCGGUAAUACGUAUGGAGCAAGCGUUAUCCGGAUUUACUGGGGGUCAAGGGCGCGUAGGGGGCGGAGCAAGUCCGACGGGAAAACCCACAGCGCAACCAUGGGACUGCUUGAGAAACUGCUCAGCUUGAGUGCAGGAGAGGCAAGUGUACUUCUUAGUGUAGCGGUGACAUGCUUAGAUAUUAGGAG